CUCUAUAGGUAUUUACCAUUAAUUAUAAUAUGUGUGUAUUCGUUGAAAAAAUUCUUUAAAUAUAAUAUUUGGUCUAUUAUAUAUUAGUAGAAAUUACUUGAAAAAGAAUAACGGAGUAAAAUAACUAUGACCAAAGUUUAAUAAGUUUAAAUUUAAUAAAUAAUUCUUUACACUAAUAAAAUCAUUUCUUAUUAUAAUUUUAAAAGUUAAAAUUAAUUUAUUGUGGAUAUAAUGUGUAAAAAUAUGUCUUUAUAACUUAUUUAAGAUAUUAAAAUUUAUUACUUGAUUUCAUAUCUUUCAAAUUCACAUAAUGAUUUUCUAUAUUUUUUAAAUGAAUAAAAUUUUAAGUCUACUUCAGUGCUAAUUAUUUAAUAUCAAUUACUACAAAGAAAUGCAUGCGUAUUUAAUAAUAAAGUUGUUUGUGUUGAACAUAUAUGAGACUAUUGCUUGGUUUGUGUGUUUGGUGGGUCAAGGGGAAGUGGAAUGAUUGUCCAUAUAAUUUGGAAUAGUUUGCUAGAGGCUUUGAGCGUAUCGAAUGGCCACGAAAACAAAAGAUGCCACGAACAGUGUAUUGGGAGCAACCGCCAGCCACUAUUUUGAAGUUUAAUGUGGAUGAGGCGCGAAAGGGAACCCAAUGGUAAGUGGUAUUGGCGGGGUUUUGUGGUUACUUUGCAAAAGGAACUGGAUUGUUGUGAGCUUUUGACGAAGGUUCAAGUAGUGUUACAUGCUUUGUUAUUUUUUCAGCAAUUUAAAUUUUCAAAUGUGGUGGUUGAGAGUGAUUCCUCCUUAGUGGUUGGGUGAGUGUCUAGGGGAGAUAGGAGGUCAUGGAAAUUGAAAAAUGUAUUUAAUCAUAUAGAUCAUCUGAUUUUUGUAAUUCAGUGUGUUGGUGUGGUGCAUGUAUUGCGUGAGGGAAACACUGUGACGAACUUUUUGGUAAAUCAAGGGUGUGGUAGAGAACAACAGAUAAGGUUUGUUGUGAUCCAAUGUAAUUAUCUAAAUGAGAAGAUUGUUCUCAUUUUUAUUGCGUUUCAAUAUUUUUUUUAAAUAUCAAUUAUUAAUUUGAGUAAUAUUAAUUAUUUAGAUCUAGAGAACUCUAAU
This 1098-nucleotide long non-coding RNA is filed under the name Lotus japonicus. Its description in RNAcentral is "long non-coding RNA (LJAP_LNC001665)". Lineage: Eukaryota; Viridiplantae; Streptophyta; Magnoliopsida; Fabales; Fabaceae. The record is from RNAcentral.